AAAGAACCCAACAGGGAUUGCCUCAGUAACGGCGAGUGAAGCGGCAACAGCUCAAAUUUGAAAUCUGGCUCCCCUGGGGGCCCGAGUUGUAAUUUGUAGAGGAUGCUUCGGCGUGGGCCCCGGUCUAAGUUCCUUGGAACAGGACGUCACAGAGGGUGAGAAUCCCGUACGUGGCCGUGGGUGCUCGCCAUGUGAAGCUCCUUCGACGAGUCGAGUUGUUUGGGAAUGCAGCUCUAAAUGGGAGGUAAAUUUCUUCUAAAGCUAAAUACUGGCCAGAGACCGAUAGCGCACAAGUAGAGUGAUCGAAAGAUGAAAAGCACUUUGGAAAGAGAGUCAAAAAGUACGUGAAAUUGUUGAAAGGGAAGCGCUUGCAACCAGACCUGCCUGCGGUUGCUCAUCCGGGCUCCUGCCCGGUGCACUCUUCCGCAGUCAGGCCAGCAUCAGCUCUGGCGGUCGGAUAAAGGCGGCGGGAAUGUGGCUCCCCUCGGGGAGUGUUAUAGCCCGCCGUGCAAUGCGGCCAGCCGGGACUGAGGUCCGCGCUUCGGCUAGGAUGCUGGCGUAAUGGUUGUAAGCGGCCCGUCUUGAAACACGGACCAAGGAGUCUAACAUCUGUGCGAGUGUUUGGGUGUCAAGCCCAGGCGCGUAAUGAAAGUGAACGGAGGCGGGAACCUUCGGGUGCACCGUCGACCGAUCCUGAUGUCUUCGGAUGGAUUUGAGUAAGAGCAUAGCUGUUGGGACCCGAAAGAUGGUGAACUAUGCCUGAAUAGGGUGAAGCCAGAGGAAACUCUGGUGGAGGCUCGCAGCGGUUCUGACGUGCAAAUCGAUCGUCAAAUUUGGGCAUA
Molecule: ribosomal RNA, 842 nt
Filed under: Rhytidhysteron neorufulum
Lineage: Eukaryota; Fungi; Ascomycota; Dothideomycetes; Hysteriales; Hysteriaceae
Description: LSU rRNA
Rfam family: Eukaryotic large subunit ribosomal RNA
Source: RNAcentral